This 3096-nucleotide ribosomal RNA is filed under the name Triticum aestivum (bread wheat). RNAcentral describes it as "partial small subunit ribosomal RNA". The stretch from base 1695 to 1781 matches the Rfam family "MIR1120/MIR1122 microRNA precursor family". The record is from RNAcentral. Lineage: Eukaryota; Viridiplantae; Streptophyta; Magnoliopsida; Poales; Poaceae.
AUUUCAGUUCGCCAACCCUAAGUUCCGCCGGCGCGCCCCGGCGAUCGUGAAGGCCCCGACGAUUGCGUCCUCACCCUACUGAUUGCCCCGACCCGACCCGACCCUCUUUAGGUCAGCAAUGCCGGAAGCCGCCACUCAAGAGGGAGAGGCGUCGGGGUCCGGAUCAACCCGCGCGCUCCGCCGCAGCCUGAGGUUCACCGCUGCAGCAAGGGCCACGGCGACGACCCGGUCGAUGGCCCUGGUGCGUGCGCAGCAGUCCCCGGGGUCCCAAUCCCCACAGGAACCAUCCGUGCGUUCCAAUACAAGGAAGAGAAAGAAGGGGCCGGCUGCCAACCAGAAAUCGAAGAAACGGAAGAGGAGGAGGAGGACAGCUCUCCAAUUCGCGAGCCACAUAUACCGGAUGAGAUGUAUCGACUUGAUGAUCUGGAUACGUCCAAAGUCAUUCAGAAGGCACUAGGAGAUCAUUUGGAGAAAAUAGCUCGCCAUAUGGGAUUGCCUACUCUGAAUGUGCACAUGUGCAGAGCUUCCAUGUGCGUUCUUGAUGACCCAAAUCUGGUUCCUGAUCGCGCAUCUGCAAGAAAAGCGGUGCUUAAUGCUGCUCACUCUGUUCUAGGGCUCUCGUCCUCUAUUGGUGGUAAGCCACUAGCAUGAUGCUGUGGUUUCUGGGUUGAUUGGGACGAGAAGACCAAAUUGGCAUUGCUUUGACAACUUCAAGUCUCAUUUGUACUAAGUCUGCAUCUAUGGACAGUUGGUUAGGGCAAGAAGAGUAUGAUACUCAUGCGGAGGUUCUUGUUCACAUGCAGGGUGGCGCCACUGAAAAGGCCACCCUGCAGUACCAUCAGAAGCACUAUGAUUUGGCCUUCUUCAGUGUUAGAAUGGAUCGGCCCGUUCAUAUACUUUCUUUCAAUGAUGGUGUGAAGCGUUCUGACCAAGUUUUUGAGCUUGGAAGAGAUGAAGAGUCGUUUCUAAGGAUAAGCCAUGGUGUGGUGAAAAUCUUGAAUCCAAACCUGCUUGAACGGUAUCACUAUAUGCAUGUUCACAGUGCAGAUCCACUCCCCGAUUAUGGCAUAGGAGGGCCACUCAUUGACUUUGGUGGAAAAAUCGUGGGAAUGGUCAAUGGCAAUACAAGCGGGUCUUUUAUACCGUCUUCCAUUUUAGUCAAGUGCUUGCAUUUGUGGAGAAAAUUUGGGCGCAUCCCUCGGCCCCAGCUUGGUAUGAAGUUUUGGUCAAUCAAGUUUGUAGACAUUGCUCUUGCUGAGAAUAUAUUGUGCAAGUGUAAUAUUGAUGAUGGCCUUAUUGUAAAAGAGGUAUCUCUCUCCCUCUCUUUCUCUCUAGAUCAAAAUAUAGCCACACCAAACUAGGAGUAUAUAAUUGCUAAUUUUACGCUCUGGCCAGACUGCAUGAGCCACUCCCGGGAGAACCAACUGACUACACAACCCGCAACCCACACAUAUAUGCUUUUGAUAGUAAAAAUGCUCUAUACUAUUGUUAAUCUUGGAAAGCUUGGUGUUUUAAUGUGAUUCACGUGAUUUAGUUGUAAGUGGUAAGAUGUGCAUGCAAAUAACCUGCAUAGUGUUUUUUUUUCAGUGCAAUUAUGCAAGUGUUUGUCGUAAACUAAAUAAUGUGGUUAUUUAUUUGAACUCAAUUGUGUACUCAUCUGUUGGUUGAAGUUUUAGUACUUGUCAUGUUAGGUUGUACUCCCUCCGUCCCAUACUAUAAGAGCAUUUUUGACACUACACUAGUGUCAAAAACGCUCUUAUAUUAUGAGAUGGAGGGAGUAAUAUAUAGCGGAGUAUCUAGUAAAUGUAGCAAAGUACUAAAGUUGGUAUGUGAUGAAGUAACACUGGAGCAUCUAGUAAUGCACUCCUAGUAAGUUUGUAGUAAAACCAUAUGUACAAGUCAUCUGUGCGCAAAAUUGUAUUUUUUGCUAGAUGGUAAAUGGAUUUGGUACUGAUAUGCUUAGCAGGUACCUUUGCUAAUCCAGUUUUACUACUUCAAUUCAUCAUGUACCUCGUCUCCAUUUUAGAGCAGAGGCAAAAAAAUUACCAUGUGAUCUCUAGGAUUUACUAUGCAUUGUACAGCAUAGUUUAGUACAUGUUCUAUGGUUGAGUAGGAGACUGGGAAACCAGGUACGCAAGUGUUGGGCUCAUUUGGAUUUAUGUUUGAUCUUCUAUUAUACAUCACUGUACAUCUUUACUAGUAGGACUUCUGCUAUUACUACAUCUCUGUGGAUCUUUACUACUAGGACUUCAGUUUUUACGCAUGAUUUGGACAGAGAAGUCAGGAAUGCGGGGAGUUGUUGUUCUGAUCGAGCGUGCACUGUGGCUGCAUGCAUGUUUGUAUUGCUCAUUUCUAGAUUUAUGUUAGCUCACUUGAGUGUUUAUGUUAUCUGCAUAUUGAGUGGUUAUUGUGACUCUUAUGUGUCAUAUGGAUCUCCUGCUGAGAAACUUGGAAUACUGGUCGGUGACGUCAUUAAUUGUUUCAAUGGAGAACGCAUCUCUACAACAGUCGAGUUGGAGAAUAUGUUGCUAAGCAAAUGCGAGGAUGAAAAUAAUAGCCUUAAUUCUGAAGUCAAUGUCAAACUUGAUGUGUUUCACAUACGCAAGUCUCGCUGGAGUGACAGAACAUUAACUGUAAAAGUGUCUGAUGAUGGUGAAGUUGUUGCAACAGGAGUUACUUAUCCUUUCGGAGAAGGGACACCAUGAUUAAUACCAUGCCAAUUGACCAAACGGGCCCAGGAAGAUAGGUUUGGGAGUUCAGGACAGAUACAUGCGUCGGUGAAUGCAUGCGUGGAACUGCAAGUUUCUGCUAAAUGCAUUUGAUUUCUUUGGCGGUAUAACUCCUUGGCAUAUCCUUGUACCGAAAAUACUGGUGCAGGCAAGCGACUGCUGUUUCCUUUCUGCAUGAAAACGGGAACCGUCAUGUGAGCUGACUCUGUACAUUUGUGGAUGCUUGUUGAGUCCCUACUUCAUGUAUGUCUUGUUCGAUGAACAAACAAAUAUCCUGGUCCACUGAAUGAACAGAAGUUGAGGAUCCUGAAAGUGCAUACUUACAAUUCAAAAGCGGAACCACUUUGAUUUUUGUGGUAAUUUUGGG